AAAUAAAUCAAAACUUUCAACAACGGAUCUCUUGGUUCUGGCAUCGAUGAAGAACGCAGCGAAAUGCGAUAAGUAAUGUGAAUUGCAGAAUUCAGUGAAUCAUCGAAUCUUUGAACGCACAUUGCGCCCUCUGGUAUUCCAGAGGGCAUGCCUGUUCGA
This 159-nucleotide ribosomal RNA is filed under the name Cytospora sp. 23 NA8. Its description in RNAcentral is "5.8S ribosomal RNA". It matches the Rfam family "5.8S ribosomal RNA". Rfam says of the family: 5.8S ribosomal RNA (5.8S rRNA) is a component of the large subunit of the eukaryotic ribosome. It is transcribed by RNA polymerase I as part of the 45S precursor that also contains 18S and 28S rRNA. Lineage: Eukaryota; Fungi; Ascomycota; Sordariomycetes; Diaporthales; Cytosporaceae. The record is from RNAcentral.